AUAUACUCCCAGGUCUUUCUCUGGCUCUGUGGUGGAUAGUGGAGUGUUUCCCAUGUGGUAUUGGUGUGCUGGAUAUCCCUUCACUGGUAGCCUGGUAACAUACACUCCCAGGUCUUUCUCUGCCUCUGUGGUGGAUAGUGGAGUGUUUCCCAUGUGGUAUUGGUGUGCUGGAUAUCCCUUCACUGGUAGCCUGGUAACAUAUGCUCCCAGGUCUUUCUCUGGCUCUGUGGUGGAUAGUGGAGUGUUUCCCAUGUGGUAUUGGUGUGCUGGAUAUCCCUUCACUGGUAGCCUGGUAACAUACACUCCCAGGUCUUUCUCUGGCUCUGUGGUGGAUAGUGGAGUGUUUCCCAUGUGGUAUUGGUGUGCUGGAUAUCCCUUCACUGGUAGCCUGGUAACAUACACUCCCAGGUCUUUCUCUGGCUCUGUGGUGGAUAGUGGAGUGUUUCCCAUGUGGUAUUGGUGUGCUGGAUAUCCCUUCACUGGUAGCCUGGUAACAUAUGCUCCCAGGUCUUUCUCUGGCUCUGUGGUGGAUAGUGGAGUGUUUCCCAUGUGGUAUUGGUGUGCUGGAUAUCCCUUCACUGGUAGCCUGGUAACAUAUGCUCCCAGGUCUUUCUAUGGCUCUGUGGUGGAUAGUGGAGUGUUUCCCAUGUGGUAUUGGUGUGCUGGAUAUCCCUUCACUGGUAGCCUGGUAACAUAUGCUCCCAGGUCUUUCUCUGGCUCUGUGGUGGAUAGUGGAGUGUUUCCCAUGUGGUAUUGGUGUGCUGGAUAUCCCUUCACUGGUAGCCUGGUAACAUAUGCUCCCAGGUCUUUCUCUGGCUCUGUGGUGGAUAGUGGAGUGUUUCCCAUGUGGUAUUGGUGUGCUGGAUAUCCCUUCACUGGUAGCCUGGUAACAUAUGCUCCCAGGUCUUUCUCUGGCUCUGUGGUGGAUAG
Eriocheir sinensis (Chinese mitten crab) is the source of this 930-nucleotide long non-coding RNA. RefSeq lists it as uncharacterized. The transcript is spliced from 3 exons. Lineage: Eukaryota; Metazoa; Arthropoda; Malacostraca; Decapoda; Varunidae. The record is from RefSeq and is a predicted model, not a curated record.